Molecule: small nucleolar RNA, 110 nt
Filed under: Mus pahari (shrew mouse)
Lineage: Eukaryota; Metazoa; Chordata; Mammalia; Rodentia; Muridae
Description: snoRNA (MGP_PahariEiJ_G0034143.1)
Rfam family: Small nucleolar RNA SNORA17
About the family: snoRNA ACA 17 belongs to the H/ACA family of snoRNAs and is predicted to guide pseudouridylation of the 28S rRNA at positions U4659 and U4598. It shares the same host gene together with ACA43. NB This family has a high threshold value to exclude a large number of closely related sequences that do not appear to have conserved H and ACA boxes, and may be pseudogenes.
Source: RNAcentral
ACUACCCCUAUAAGCAUUAUAGAUAUGGUUGCUGUGUCAUAUGUGUGUCAUUGGAUGGCAAAGAGAACAGAGGAUAUGUCUCAGUCCAGUGUUCUGACCUAAGAACAUCU